UGAAUCUCAAAAUGUUGAGCUGACUAGAGUUUGUGAUAGCCCAUCAAGAAAAUUGGAGGAUGCUUCAAGAAAGAGAAAGAGAAAAAGAAAGAGAAAUAGAAAUAAAAAGAGAAAGAUAGCAGGGACAGAUGAAUAGCUGCUCUCAUUUCACCAACAAGCACGCAUGAAAUUUGAGAAACAUCUUCCUUUGCUAGCAAAAAUUUGUCACUGAAAGGAGAAAAUCGAGGAAGCAUCUAUCCAAUCAGAUAUUCAAAACAAAGAAGAUGAAAUGAGGGAGCAAUUACUCAACAUCAGAGCCAAGUGCGAGGAGCUUUGCAAGUAAGAUCUUGUUUCCUUGAGACUAGAGUGGAAGGGAAUCCUCUUUCUAAUUGCAAGUUUGAUUACUCCAUUAAUUUAUUUUCUUUUUACCAUUUUGUCGAGAAAGGUGCCUGAUAUUGCUAUGAUCGUUCUUCAUUUUUUUGGUUUCUUUAGGCCUCUUCAAUGUCUCUUUCAGUAUAGCUAAACACAAGGUACCUGUUGAUAUCAUUCUCAGAUGGGCAAUGCAUUUAUGGUCUAAGUACCAUUGCUUGUCCUACUACAAAGGUAUCUUGAAGCAACUGGUUCCCACAUCAGAAUUUCCAAAGUCAAAAUGAAAUUUAUUCAUGGUAAUUUGGAAAUGAAUUUUAACCUUUAAGUACUGUUGCUUGUCCUGCUGCAAAGUCCCAAACUCUCUCCCAUGCUGCGAAAAGAUGAUGUAGUAACAACUGAAAUUGGCUGCUCCAUGGUAUUUGAGAAACUAGAGCCAUCAUGCACUUCUAGUUCGCAGGCGUCUGCUGAGCAUAACAUUGCAACAGACCGGGACCACAUUCGGGCUAAGAGAAUGAAGAUCUAAGAGGUGGAUCAAGUAGAAAUGGUUUUGUUUUGCAUCAAAUAUCGGUUCUCAUUUUAUAUCUUUAAUGUGAUGGAAUGAAGAUGAUCCGCACAACAAAUAUAUAUGUCCUUCAGUAGAGAAAGUGGUGCAUUAUGAUGGUCAAUUAGAAAAUCUGCAACAGCUAAGUUUGUUUCUGCCAACAAGCUUCCUUUAGUGACAACUUUUACUAAAGAUACCGCCCCUUCAAUUUUUGCCAGUCCAAUUAAGAAGCAGGUUUUGCAUUUUCGCUACAGCAAUUGAUACGGAUAAGUUGUUCCCAACAUUUCGAGAUGCUGCAAAACUUUUCAAGGGAAAGAAUGAUGCGGAUGUGAGAGUCUUGGUUGGGAACAAUUUUGAUGAAAUCGUUCCAAAUGAGUCAAAAAAUGCGCUUCUUGAGCCCUACCAAUUAUGGAACUAUGGAGAAUACAAAGAAGCUCUGAACGCAUGCCUGUAGACAUGCUCCAUAACAAAUUCAAUCUCGUUGGCGAUAUUUAGAGUUAUAGAUAAGCUUACAAGGUCAAUCUCGUUGUCGAUAUUUAGAGUUAUAGAUAAGCUUACAAAGUCGCUAAGGAGUUGGUCAUCUGUUCAAUCUCGCUCCCAAUUUUAGAUGUAUUAGAAAUUGUCAAAUCUUAGAUAUAUCAGAAUUUAUUGUUGCUUUUUAUUA
Long non-coding RNA from Lycium ferocissimum, 1553 nucleotides. RefSeq lists it as uncharacterized. The record is from RefSeq and is a predicted model, not a curated record. NCBI's taxonomy places the organism in Eukaryota, Viridiplantae, Streptophyta, Magnoliopsida, Solanales, Solanaceae. The transcript has 8 exons.